CGCGUAGGCGGUCGUGCAAGUCGAACGUGAAAUCCCUCGGCUCAACCGAGGAACUGCGUCCGAAACUGCUCGACUUGAGUCCCGGAGAGGGUAGCGGAAUUCCCAGUGUAGCGGUGAAAUGCGUAGAUAUUGGGAGGAACACCUGUGGCGAAGGCGGCUACCUGGACGGGUACUGACGCUGAGGCGCGAAAGCUAGGGGAGCAAACA
This 207-nucleotide ribosomal RNA is filed under the name uncultured bacterium. Its description in RNAcentral is "partial 16S ribosomal RNA". It matches the Rfam family "Bacterial small subunit ribosomal RNA", at positions 568 to 774 of the family's 1533-position model. The record is from RNAcentral.